This 65-nucleotide transfer RNA is filed under the name Daphnia pulex (common water flea). It matches the Rfam family "tRNA". Rfam says of the family: Transfer RNA (tRNA) molecules are approximately 80 nucleotides in length. Their secondary structure includes four short double-helical elements and three loops (D, anti-codon, and T loops). Further hydrogen bonds mediate the characteristic L-shaped molecular structure. tRNAs have two regions of fundamental functional importance: the anti-codon, which is responsible for specific mRNA codon recognition, and the 3' end, to which the tRNAs corresponding amino acid is attached (by aminoacyl-tRNA synthetases). tRNAs cope with the degeneracy of the genetic code in two manners: having more than one tRNA (with a specific anti-codon) for a particular amino acid; and 'wobble' base-pairing, i.e. permitting non-standard base-pairing at the 3rd anti-codon position. Lineage: Eukaryota; Metazoa; Arthropoda; Branchiopoda; Diplostraca; Daphniidae. The record is from Rfam by way of RNAcentral.
UCCUUAGCUCAGUGGCAGAGCACUAGUCUUGUAAAUUAGGGGUCAUGCGUUCAUUUCACAUAGGA